Molecule: long non-coding RNA, 5819 nt
Organism: Homo sapiens (human)
Lineage: Eukaryota; Metazoa; Chordata; Mammalia; Primates; Hominidae
Gene: SNHG14
Product: small nucleolar RNA host gene 14
Source: Ensembl
GAAUAUCUAUCUGGAAUAAAAACUAUUUUUCCCAAUUAUCAACAACAUGGGAGACUUAAAAAUAAAUUUGUAAGUGGAAUAUCCAAAGAUAGUGUUACACUGAAAGAAAGCGGCUGCAGCCUGAGUGAGGCAGAUCAUGACUGUAAUCAAUCCCAUAACUGUGGGAGGCUGAGGCAGGCCGACUACUUGAGCCCAGGAGGUCAACACCAGCCUGGGCAACAUAGUGAGGCUACUCUCUACAAACUUUUUUAAAAAAAAUUAGCCAAGUGUGGUGGCAUGCACCUGUAGUCCCAGCUACUUGGGAGGCUGAGGAUCACUUGAGCCUGAGAGUCAAGGCUGCCAUAAGCUGAAAUUGCACCACUGCACUCCAGCCUGGGCAACAGAGCUAGACUUUGUCUCAAAAACAAACAAACAAACAAAAACCAAAAAGAAAAAGAAAAAGAGGCUCCAAAGUGUAGAAUCUUAAAUCUAAAACUUGUCACUAAACCUCCUCAUUAGUUCCACGUCACAAGAUGGAAUAUUUUAAGUUCCAUCACGUGAAAUCUUAUAUUCCUUUUACUCUGUCAACUUAAAGUACACAGAUUAAUGUCCUAUUAUGGCUGUUUCAGGAGAGCUACCAAAACUGAGGGAGGAAUUAUGUGACCAUGUAAGAAGUUAGAUGACAUUAUAUUCAACACUAAAGAGUCUAUGCUUCUACUAACUGAUAAAAUUACCAUAAUUUCAGUAGAAUAAACUACUGGAUCCAAAGAAACAUAAGUCAUAGCCAUUCCUUUUGGUCCCAAAUUCACAAGCAUGGAAAUAACAACUACAAAGAAUCAAAAUUAUAAGAAAAAUAGUUCAGCUGAUUUUCAAAACAUUCACAGAAUUAUCUAACAUGUAGGACUAGAUGACCAAUGCCAGAGUUUACAUCUUGCUAAUCAUGAGAAACUCAACAAUUAACAAGGCAGCAAGUAAGUGAAGAAACACACGAGAUCCAAUUUUGUCUCAACAGAAGAACUUUCACUCUCUGUCCAGGUAGGUGACAAAAAGUGAUAAUUCACACACAUUCAAUUCAUUCUGGUGCUUAUUUUUCAAAUGUUCCAUGCAAAUUUACCACUCACUGCAUGCAAACAGAGAAAAAAGAAAACCCACAAAGCACAUGUAAAAAUUGCAUAAACAUGACUUAAAGACAUUUUGCUAUCUAUGAAGCUAUAAACCCCACCUGAAAAUUAAAAACUGUUAUCACAGAUUUAGCACUAUGCAAAAUAUGAAAGUGAAAACAUGUAAAAAUAAAAUGGAAAUGCAGAAUCUAGAAAAUUUAAAAUAUAUAUUGCUACCCUUCAGUAAAGAAAGGGAGAUAAUGUCAUGUUCUCCCAAACUACAGUGACUUCCCUGGUGAAAAUGUAAGUAGGUAUUUCCUUUCUGGAGGAAAACAGUGAACAUGUAUCGAAAGUCUUAAAAACACGAAUACCGUGUGAAUGAGAUCCUACUUGUGGAAAAUAAUUUGACAAUUUUACAAAAAUGCAUUGUUUCUAUAUCUGAAAAAAACAUGUCUAAUAAAAGAUUACUUAAAUGAACUGAUAAUAGGUCACACAAUAAAAUAAAAACUAUCAAGAUUUGAAUUCGACAAAGAACUGCCUAGUCUUCCUGAUAUAUCACUAACUGACAAAAGUCAGUUAAAAAGUAGCAGGUGUAGGAUGAACCCAUUGUUAUUUCAAAGCAUUAAUAGCAUUUUCUCUGGAUGAUGUGAUUAAGUGAGUUUUAAAACUUCUUCCAUCUUUUGAUUUCUUAUUUAUUCUUUCCAUAGUAAGGAUGCUACUUGCAUAUUAAAAAUUAAUAACUAUAAGGGGAAAACAAUAGCAGUUAUAAAACUUCAUAUACAUGAUUUGAAUGGCCCCGAGAUUUACUAAAUUGUCUCUGAUUUUUAAAAAAAUUACAAAAGUCAAAAUACCAAAAUAGAUAUUUUUAAUGUGAGCUUUUAUACUAAAAUAACCUCCCCAAAACUUGUCAGAUACAUAGUACUUCUUUAUAUACUACAUAGGAGGAGAGUGAUCAGCACAAACAGAACGAGACUGAAAAAUCAGAAGAUCUGCAUUAAGUGUCAUCCUUCUGUCCCUAAGCAGCUGUAGGAUCCUAGGGAAACAAUUGUCUGGGCCUCAGUUUUCCCAGCUUUAUGAGUCCCUUCAGUUCUAAUUUUAAAGUUAUUUUAUGUAAUAGGGAGGUGAGCAAGAAACUAGUAUUUGCUGGAUGCCUGAUAACUUAUUACACACACUGCGGGGCACUUUGACAUGGGUUAUCUCAUUUGAAUACCAUGACAUUGAGGAUUAUCUUCAGUCCACAGCCAAAGAGAGAAAUAGAACUGGAGUCAAAUCACGAAACCAAGAUCUCAAAGAAAGUACAGAACCAAGACAAGAAUAGGAGUCCAGGAGUCUUUCAGCUUCAGAGUCUAAGUCAUUUUGACUAUAUUGUUUUGCAGAAGGUGAUUCAUUUCAAAAUAAUUAUUUUUUAACAUGAGUAAUACUGAAGAAUUCUAUGGAAAAAAAUCUCAUAACUAAUGUGCAACUGGGAAAAAAAUCUGAAGAAUCAUAACGUGAACCUCACAUUUAUGCAUCUAUCUGGUACCACAAAGGCAGACCAAGUUUCUUGAGGAAAUGGAACCACUAUAUUCUGCAAAGUUAAUUUCUCUCUAAUUUGUUGAGGACCUAUGUGCUAUGCAUUUUAUAGACAUUCCCACUUUAGAGGGGAAUAAACCUUAACAGUUAAGAGCUCGCAUUCUGAGGCCAGAUGCCCAAGUUCACAUAAUGGCUCUACCUCUUAAUUAACUAUGUGACCCUGAAUGAAUUACUUGAUCUUUCUGGACGUAAGUUUCCUCGUAAUUUAAAUGGUAGUAUCUACGAGCAUUAUCAUGGUGAGAGUAUUAUUCUUCUUCACAUUACCAAUUGUGAGAAAAUUAAAUGUGUUAAUAUAUAUAAAGUGCUUAGAACAUUGCCUGGCACAUACUAAGCACUAUGAAAGUGUUAGCUACUACUAUUAUUGUUGUAAUUGUUACUAUCACCCUCACAAGUGUAUGAGUUAGCACUAUAAACCUUCAUUCUGCUGAUGCUCAGAGAAAUUACAUAAGUCAUACAUCUAAUAAGAGAUUUGAACUCAGCUACUAAACUUGAGCUUUUAAUAACUAUUAAGAGGAGGAUCUGAAAGUAGCCCUCUAUAUUUGAUCUGCCUUUCUGUGCCAAGUUUAACAAAUAGCAGCUACACUGAUGAGACAGGACUAAAGGAAGCCAUGCCAGAACCUCCAAGUUAAUGGUGGAAUCAACUAUAUUAAGCAUUCUUCUUUUUUCCUCACUCCAAUGACACCUUAAUUUAUCUGACCUCAUCUGCAUCACUAUCUAAUUUAGGAUAUGUAAAAGGCAUACAAAAUUUAGAGCACAUAAAAGGGCCUCUACGUUGGAAAAGUAUACACUAAUAACGACUUUUUGGUAUAGUUCCUGCGCAAGGGAAAUCCUUGUACCAUAUGGGUCACCAAAUCAUAGCUCGUAAGUCAAAUCGAGUCCACCACCUGUUUAUGUCUCUCAAGCUUAGAAUAUUUUACAUUUUUAAAUGGCUGGAAAAAGUUUGAAAAAUAAUAAUAGUUUGUAACGUGAAAAUUAUAAGAAAUUCAAGUUCCAGUAUCCAUCAAGUGUACUGGAACAUACCCAAGUUCAUUGAUUUAUAAAUAUACUAUAUAUGAUAAUGCUUUGGCUCUGUGUCCCCACCCAAAUCUCAUCUUGAAUUGUACUCCCAUAAUUCUCAUGUGUUGUAGGAGUGACCCCCUGGGAGAUAAUCUGAAUCAUGGGGGCAGUUUCCCACAUGCUGUUCUUGUGGUAGUAAGUCUCACGAGAUCUGAUGGUUUUAUCAGGGGUUUCCGCUUUUGCAUCCUUCUCAUUUUCUCUUGUCACUGCCAUGCAAGAAGUGUCUUUCACCUUUCGCCAUGAUUCUGAAGCCUUCCCAGCCAUGUGGAAGUGUAAGUCCAAUUAAACUUCUUUUUUUUUUCCCAGUCUCAGGUACGUCUUUAUCAGCAGCGUGAAAAAGGACUAAUACAAUAUACUAUAUAGUUUAUGGCUGUUUUUCAUACUACAAUGGCAGAGUUGAGUACUUUAGGCCUGCAAAACCUAAAACAAAUACCACCUGCCCUUUACAGAAAAUGUUUGCCAACCCUUAGUUUAGGAUCUAUUAUUUAUCUCUGCCCUCCAGUGACCCUGCCAUCUAAUCAUUUGGCCUCUUAACUCUCUCUUUACCCUGAGCAAAUCCGUAAAAUAAAAGGUAUACCUUUCCCCAAGUACUAUUAAAGAAAAGAAGAGGAGAGGGGAAAAGGGAAAAAGGGGAAAAGAAAGUGAGGAAAGGGAGAGGAUGCAAAAGAAAAAGAAGGAAAGAAAGGAAUUUCCCUGAUGAGAUCCCUUAGUAAUACCUUAUCAGCUGUUCAUAAUCAAAAUUCCUAGAAGAGGAACAACAGCUUACUUGCUAUAAUUUCUUCACAUUCCAUUGACUUUUCUUAUUACUCAAAAAACAAAGUAUGUUAUAAUGUGUUGAUUUUUAAAAUAAAACAAACUUUUCUUAUUUAGUCAGCAAUGAAGGUCAAGUGAGACCUUCUAGUAAAAGUCCUCUAAAGUCAGACACAUGAAAAUACUUAUCCAUUUAAAACAGACAAUACUUUCCAAUUAUUUAUUUCUAUGAUUGAAUUAAUGGGACAGUGCUACAAACAGAAGUCCUAUGGAAUAAGUCAUACUUGGAAGAUCAGAGUUUACUCUAGACAACUUGACAGCAAUCAGUUUAAAAAUGGUUUCACCUAGAGGGAUGUGUACUAAUGUUAGCAAUUAACUUUGAAAGGCAUAAAAAUUAAGAUGGAUUGAUGGAUACAAGGAUGGUUAUACGAUAAAGCAAUGUAAGUAUUAAUGGCAGAAUCUAGGUGGCAGGCAUAUGUGUGUCAGCUGUAAAAUUUGUGUUCAAUGUUUUUUUAGUUCCCACAUAUCAGUGAGAACAUGUGAUAUCUGUCUUUCCGUGUCUGGCUUAGUUCACUAAAAAAAUGAAUUUACAAGACAACUGGAAUAUAAGCAAUGAAUACAAGCACUAAGAAGAUGAAGCCAUAGAAACAGCUGCCAGAAAGUGAAGAUGUGACAGUGAACGCCAAACAAGUGGUGGAGUCUAUGGCCCUUCUCCUUGAAUCUGAGUGAAAUUAGUGAGUCUUUCAAUCCAAAGACUACAGUCAUACCUCAACUAUCUACAGAGGACUGGUUCCAGGACUCCCAUGGAUCCCAAAAUCCAAGGAUGCUUCGAAUCCCUUAUAUAAAAUGGCAUGGUAUUUGCAUAUAACCUACAUGCAUCUUCAAAUAUGUUAAACCAUCUCUAGAUUACUUAUAAUACCAAAUACAAUGUAAUGCUAUGUAAACAGUUGUUACAAUGUAUUGUCAAAGACAAGCUCUCCUUGCCAAUCCCUGACCAAAUGAGAGAUUCAUGAGCAAAAUAAAUAGUUGCUGAUAUUUAAGGCACUAAGUUUGGGGCAAUGUAUUACACAGCAAUAAAUAACUGGAACAGCAUAGUAAAUUCUAGUUAAAAAUACUAAACUACUAAGUUUUAGUUAACAUACAUGCUCAAGUUAAGGGUGUGGUAUACUAACAACUGCAACUUACUUUGAAAAGCAUAAAAAAAGACACUAGAAGAAGACAGGAUGGAUAGAUGGACAAGAUAGAAGACAAUAACAAAUAGAACAAAAUGUUGUGAAAUUAUAUUCUACAAUUAUUUUAAAGUCUGUGUGGUUUGAAAAAUUGUACGAUAAAAUGAAGAGUGAAAUAAAGACAUUUCCAUAC